UAAAUGAAUAAAAAAAAAGAAUUCUUUUCUUAUUUACUACAUGGAUACACUAUAAAAAAACAUUCAUUUAUUGACAUUGGUGAUUCUCAUAGCUUUCUUCUUGUCUUAAAAUUCAAUAUGAGCCUAAAGUAAUUUCAUUUUGAUACUCUUGAUAACCUUUAAAUCUAAAUUUAAAAGCUCAACAGUGUGUUCUGAAUGGUUAAGUUGAUACAACAAUCCAUUCAGUCUGAUGACCUGUUGUCAGUUGUUUCAAUAACCAUCAAGCUCUAUCAUCAAAAUUAAUAAAUAUAAAUUGAGCUACAAUAGACCUAGUCUAUUGUAGUACUAUAGUCUCAGUGGAGGGACACAAGGUGCCCCACUCACAAUACAAACCUAACCUAACCUAUCAUUAAACCCAUAAUACAACCUGCCGCACAUUAAGUCAUGAUCUAUGACAUUAAAAGUAGUUUUGUAAUUUUUUUAAAUUUAUUUAUUGUCCAACAGGAAAAUCCCAAUACAAAAGACAAUUAUGAGAAAUAUGAUAACAAAAAAAAAAAACUCAACUAGAGUAGUACACAAUAGAAAAAAAAAUUCAGAAAAAACUGACCCAAAACACCUCCAGCCCACCUAAUCCUGAUCAAAUCAAGAAUUUUCAUGAAUUGAAUCACCUUUUUUUUCAAAGUGGUUGUAGAGCCAUUAAAAAAGUCAAUGUUAUUCUCACUAUUUAGUGUGUUAAAUCAUGAACAGGCUCGGUAUAAAGGAGGAUUUCUGCUCAAGUUGGUAAGGGUAUUCUUAAGAUAAAAUUGAACUGACCUUCUUGUGUGUAUAGGAGAUACAAAAAAAUUUAAUUCAUCCAAAAGGUCUGGAGCACCAAUUUUAUGGCAGCAGAGUUUUAAAACUGCUAUGGUUGUGCUAUGACUUCCUUGAAAACCUGAUUGAUGUUUAGUAAAAAACCAAUUGGAAUCAAAAAUACACUGUUAUCUGGAUAUACAUUGCCUUCUCCAAAAUUUUAGAAAGGAUCAGGGACAGGGAAGCAAACUGUCUUAUAUCUGAAAAAAGUAGCUGGAUUAGAACAAGUUGUUGGCACAUUCCACAGACUAGGAAAAUAACCUCUCAAGACCACAGUUAAUAAAGUGGACAGUGUCAGAUGGAAGUGACCUCUAAAUGUUUUAGUUAAUUUUUUGAAAUACACUACAGAAAGCUUGGUUUAUUUUCUCUGAAUCUGCUAAAUUUGGAGGAAUAUUAAAGACUUCAUUUAUCAGAGUACAAACGUUCUAGUUAAAGCAAAUCCACCCGGUGGUGAUGGACUUUGCCUUCCUGAUGCGCGCCGUGAACUUCAUAAAUGAAGAACCACUAACCAGGUAAGAAAGUAUUUUUAUUCUUGGCAUAGCAUAUGUACUUUUUUAUUAUAUAGCAAACUGUCUGUUUCUUAUAUUUGUACCUAGAUGUGUUUGUAGUGAUAAGAUCAUGUAAACCGAAGGUGUGUGCUCCAAAUUGCCCUAAUAUUUUUUUAUCAUUGUGGUCCAGAAAAUUACAGAAAUAAAAAAGUGUUAUUUAAACUUCGAACUGAUCAUGAAAAACGAAAGAAAUGGUUUGAACUUUUGGUUUUAGCUAUUAGUAUCGAAAUCCAACUUUUAUGUGAAGACCACUUUAGGAACAGUGAAUUUACGAAUACUUUUCAUAAGAGGCUCAUUAAAUAUGCACUACCUACAAAAAAUUUAGGAAAUAAAGUCCAAGUUUCAAGUAAUAUACAAAGUGCUCCUCCAAGCCUUCAAAAUAAAUCUGGACUAAAUUCUCUUAUUAAUUGUGAGGAACAAAAUCAUGAAAUAUCAUCAACUCUAAAAAAUCCUUUAUCAUUUACUUUCACAAAAGCGAAGUAGGGCACAUAAUAGUACUGAGAGCUUAAAUGUUAAAAGAAGUUAAUUAGGUAUUUUAGAAGAAAUCAAUGAAACUAGACUCCAAAAUUUAACACCGAAAAAAACUAUAUAACAUGAAUAGGAUUCAAAAAAAAUACAUUAUGUAACUUGAAAAGUAAAAUUCUAAGCAGUAAAAAUAAAUUAAAAAUGCUAUUUAAGUUACCAGAAAAUGGAUUUUUCAAAGACAUAGACAAUUCAUCUACAAAUCCUAUUGCAUUUUCGUUUUUUUCAAAAUUACUUUAAGAAUUUAAAAAAUAAAAAGGCCGACAUAGACUACUAAGGAUAAAGUGUUUGGUUUAGCCUGACUUGGUGCGUAUGAAAUUAAAAUUAAGAGUGGAUAAAAUGAAUGUUAUGUGGAUAUAGAUA
RNAcentral lists this unclassified non-coding RNA (2261 nucleotides) under Anthonomus grandis grandis. RNAcentral's name for it is "zinc finger MYM-type protein 1-like". The record is from RNAcentral. Lineage: Eukaryota; Metazoa; Arthropoda; Insecta; Coleoptera; Curculionidae.